CUGAAAAUAAGAACCAACGGUACUCAUCUUUUCUCUGCUUCCCCUUCCCAGGCAGCUCAGUGUUUGUGGAGUGAGUCACUGACAGGGGCAGAAGCAGGGCUGCUACAUCCCCGUGAUCAAUGCACUAUGACACUGGAUCAUCAACAUAAAGUGAACACAGAAAAGGGAAAGAUGUCCCAGUGGAAAGAAGCAAAGAAGACGCCUUCUGCAAGGUGACGAGACUGCGGGACGUGGCUCUGUCCUCCGACACAGGAGCAGCGCCCUACAGAGAGACGGUUUACGAAGUACUUUCUCGGGCAAGAUUCUCUAAGGUGGUGGUAAAAUACUUUGUAGCCACGAAUCCCCCCCGCCCCCUUUUUUUCCCCUGUCAGCUGAGGUUCCUCUCAAGGAAACAUUCUCUUACGCUUUGAAAGUCAACACCAAAAAGCACAAGUGUAGGGGACGAUGUGGGCACCAAGGGACACACGCUCCUCCUGAAUCUAUGGGGAGUCUGUAGGGAUGGACACUGCCAGAGGAGGCAGUCAAGGGUCUUUAUUAACUAACCUGGGAGGAGUUAACAAUUAACCUUGUUUUCCACAUGGCUGCCAUUGCACCAGCAACACGGGGAGGAAAAGGAGGCCUACUGAAGCUGGUCAGUCACCAUCUAGUCAGACAACUGACGGCACCUGUAGAGCACAAGCAAUAUGCCAGCAUCAUGGGGGGUAUGAAGAUGCCACUGCCUUCAAGGAACCUACACCUGUGAAGGACCCUCAUGACAACGGAGUCCAGUUGCCCGGCCCGGGCCUGGGCCUCUCAUGCACCACAACCGAUGCGGCCCACGUAUCCGAAUGCUUCCGUGAUAAAUGCCUGCCCCUCCCACUUUGCCAGACAGGAAGUUCCACAGGAGCACCGGCCACACAUUGGGGUCUGUGCAUCACUGUACCCCCGGGGUCGAGCACACAGCAGGUCCUCAAGAGGGCUUAGAAGCAAUCGCCGUAGCAGAAAGAAUACAGAGGACGGCUAUGUUAGCCUCUGGCAAGUCGGCACUGACUCCUCACACCCCUUCAAAAGGCCUGGAGAGAACUCAAAUCCCACUUCCAGGAGCUCCUACCAGUCAAUGGCGGCUGAUAACAUUAUCAAGGGAUGGCCCCCAUAAAACGCCGUCUUGUCCUUCCUCUUAGAGGGACAGCUGACAGACUGCACAUUCGGAGUAGACUACAAGGGCCAAAGAGGCAAGCAAGUAAAAGCGCCCAAUGCUUUGUAUGGAACACAGUCCUUCUACAUUGGAGAGAAAUCCUUGCUGUAAUUAUGUCUAGAAGGAAAAUAAAUAUGAAUGAAGUAA
Leopardus geoffroyi (Geoffroy's cat) is the source of this 1321-nucleotide long non-coding RNA. RefSeq lists it as uncharacterized. The transcript is spliced from 2 exons. Lineage: Eukaryota; Metazoa; Chordata; Mammalia; Carnivora; Felidae. The record is from RefSeq and is a predicted model, not a curated record.